This 253-nucleotide ribosomal RNA is filed under the name uncultured bacterium. Its description in RNAcentral is "partial 16S ribosomal RNA". It matches the Rfam family "Bacterial small subunit ribosomal RNA", at positions 524 to 776 of the family's 1533-position model. The record is from RNAcentral.
UACGUAGGGGGCUAGCGUUGUCCGGAAUCAUUGGGCGUAAAGCGCGUGUAGGCGGUCCGGUAAGUCCGCUGUGAAAGUCGGGGGCUCAACCCUCGGAUGCCGGUGGAUACUGUCGGGCUUGAGUACGGAAGAGGCGAGUGGAAUUCCUGGUGUAGCGGUGAAAUGCGCAGAUAUCGGGAGGAACACCGGUGGCGAAGGCGGUCUGCUGGGCCGUUGCUGACGCUGAUGCGCGACAGCGUGGGGAGCAAACAGG